Molecule: ribosomal RNA, 495 nt
Filed under: uncultured bacterium
Lineage: Bacteria
Description: partial 16S ribosomal RNA
Rfam family: Bacterial small subunit ribosomal RNA
Source: RNAcentral
GACGAACGCUGGCGGCGUGCCUAAUACAUGCAAGUAGAACGCUGAAGGAGGAGCUUGCUCUUCUGGAUGAGUUGCGAACGGGUGAGUAACGCGUAGGUAACCUGCCUGGUAGCGGGGGAUAACUAUUGGAAACGAUAGCUAAUACCGCAUAACAGUAGAUGUUGCAUGACAUUUGCUUAAAAGGUGCAAUUGCACCACUACCAGAUGGACCUGCGUUGUAUUAGCUAGUUGGUGGGGUAACGGCUCACCAAGGCGACGAUACAUAGCCGACCUGAGAGGGUGAGCGGCCACACUGGGACUGAGACACGGCCCAGACUCCUACGGGAGGCAGCAGUAGGGAAUCUUCGGAAAUGGACGGAAGUCUGACCGAGCAACGCCGCGUGAGUGAAGAAGGUUUUCGGAUCGUAAAGCUCUGUUGUAAGAGAAGAACGAGUGUGAGAGUGGAAAGUUCACAAUGUGACGGUAUCUUACCAGAAAGGGACGGCUAACUACGUG